RNAcentral lists this ribosomal RNA (497 nucleotides) under uncultured bacterium. Its description in RNAcentral is "partial 16S ribosomal RNA". It matches the Rfam family "Bacterial small subunit ribosomal RNA", at positions 28 to 507 of the family's 1533-position model. The record is from RNAcentral.
GACGAACGCUGGCGGCGUGCCUAAUACAUGCCAGUAGAACGCUGAAGCGAGGAGCUUACUCUUCUUGGAUGAGUUGCGAACGGGUGAGUAACGCGUAGGUAACCUGCCUUGUAGCGGGGGAUAACUAUUGGAGACGAUAGCUAAUACCGCAUAACAAUGGAUGACACAUGUCAUUUAUUUGAAAGGGGCAAUUGCUCCACUACAAGAUGGACCUGCGUUGUAUUAGCUAGUAGGUGAGGUAAUGGCUCACCUAGGCGACGAUACAUAGCCGACCUGAGAGGGUGAUCGGCCACACUGGGACUGAGACACGGCCCAGACUCCUACGGGAGGCAGCAGUAGGGAAUCUUCGGCAAUGGGGGCAACCCUGACCGAGCAACGCCGCGUGAGUGAAGAAGGGUUUCGGAUCGUAAAGCUCUGUUGUAAGUCAAGAACGGGGGUGAGAGUGGAAAGUUCACACUGUGACGGUAGCUUACCAGAAAGGGACGGCUAACUACGUG